CCCGACACUGGACGGGGAAACAGGGAAGCAGCGGGGCAGCAGUGACACAAGGACAGACCCUCAGGGACCAGAGGGGAUAGGGAGACGCUUCAGGCCAACCACGUGGUUUCUCUUUCCACUUCCAGGGCCGAACGUGGGCCACGAGUGAGGCCUGAGGGGGCAGGGAUUGAGAGGCCUGACUUUUCAUCUGUGAGCUGAGGAUGUGGAAUAGAUGAUGAAUAAAGUCCUUACCGCUUAUAAAUUCUAUCUCCAGACUUCAGCUUCCAUGUCUGCCAAGUGGGCUGAAAUGAUCUCCCUCCUGGGUUCCUGGGAGGAAGAAUAGCUCUGGAUGGCUUUAUGGUGCAUCAUAGAAUGGCCCCAGCAGACCCAAGUGUGAGUGUUUGAAUUGGUUUAACCCAGGAGCCUUCAGACACCAGACUGAGACGCAUGGCUGGGCCAUGGCACCCUCUUCGCAGGUUCCAGGCAAAGACUGGCUUUGCAACUACUUGAGGAGCUACUUGUGGGUCCUGUUGCCACAUGGACGAUGCCCUGUAAAGACAUCUAUGCUAACCAAGAACGGGGUGCUUGGUUUUUGGAUGGCAGUUCCAACGGUAGGUGAAUGGUAUUCUGCUUGGAAGGAUCCCACACUAAGUUUGGUGGUUGAAGAGGUUCCAAUAAAAGAAAGUCACACACAUAGCAGCUGUUGGCUUGCAUGCUAUUUGCCUUACAGUACCCAGAGAACUGAAGAGCAAUACACGCUUGUUGGUUUGUUUUUAUGGACUCAUGAGCAAUGGCCAACAACCUGGCCAUAGGGUUAGGUAGACGGGCAGUGGAACACUAGCCUGUUCAAUGGAAUCCCAUAUGAGACACAAAUGAGAAUGCUGCAAGAACUUGGGUAAGUUUAUAGUAGCAUUUAUUUCUAGUCUGCUCAAGGCAUAUUUGAUAACAUCUACAAUAGCAAAGCUCUUGGGGCUUGCUGGGAGGCACAGAUGGUUGCUUCUGAUGAACAUCUUGGUUGUCAGGGCCUCUGUGGUGUGUUGGGGAAGGUUAGGGAGGGAAGGCCAGAGGAGAGGCCUGCCAUGGCAGUCUACUACCUCUCUCUGUGCAAUGGAGAGCCUGGCAGAACUCAGUGUCCUCUGUCUUGCAUGAGGAACUGAGAUGGACUCCACCAAUGGACCACAGUUCUGGGUCUCUCUGCCAGACGAAGUUGAAGGUCUCUAAUGAACUUGCUGAUGGGGGGCUGCUCUGCUUUUGCUUCUCCCUGGCAAACUUGAACAUAACCAAUUUUGCAAAGUUAAAAGCAAAAUAUGGUUGAUGGUAUAAAUUCAAAGUGUAUAAUAUAGUGAUCUUAUAAAUAUAUACAUUAUCUAAUGAUUAUUAUAAUCAAAAUGAAAAAUCUCCAGAAUUUGCUUAUUUUAUAA
Ochotona curzoniae (black-lipped pika) is the source of this 1400-nucleotide long non-coding RNA. RefSeq lists it as uncharacterized. The transcript has 3 exons. The record is from RefSeq and is a predicted model, not a curated record. NCBI's taxonomy places the organism in Eukaryota, Metazoa, Chordata, Mammalia, Lagomorpha, Ochotonidae.